RNAcentral lists this ribosomal RNA (440 nucleotides) under uncultured bacterium. RNAcentral's name for it is "partial 16S ribosomal RNA". It matches the Rfam family "Bacterial small subunit ribosomal RNA", at positions 338 to 795 of the family's 1533-position model. The record is from RNAcentral.
CCUACGGGAGGCAGCAGUGGGGAAUAUUGCACAAUGGGGGAAACCCUGAUGCAGCGACGCCGCGUGAGUGAAGAAGUAAUUCGUUAUGUAAAGCUCUAUCAGCAGGGAAGAAAAUGACGGUACCUUAGUAAAACGCCCCGGCUAACUACGUGCCAGCAGCCGCGGUAAUACGUAGGUGGCAAGCGUUAUCCGGAUUUACUGGGUGGAAAGGGAGCGUAGACGGCAGUGCAAGUCUGAAGUGAAAGGCGGUGGCUCAACCCCGGGACUGCUCUGGAAACUGUACGGCUAGAGUGCAGGAGAGGUAAGUGGAAUUCCUAGUGUAGCGGUGAAAUGCGUAGAUAUUAGGAGGAACACCAGUGGCGAAGGCGGCUUACUGGACUGUAACUGACGUUGAGGCUCGAAAGCGUGGGGAGCAAACAGGAUUAGAUACCCUGGUAGUC